Molecule: RNA transcript, 1299 nt
Organism: Ictalurus punctatus (channel catfish)
Lineage: Eukaryota; Metazoa; Chordata; Actinopteri; Siluriformes; Ictaluridae
Exons: 7
Source: RefSeq, a predicted model, not a curated record
UUGCUGUGGAGGUUGUAUCAUAUUAAUAUUUAAUUCUGAUCAUAUAACAGAUUUGACUUGCAGGUGAGACAGGAAGGACAACAACUAGAGACGAGUGCUGUAUAUAUUUUCACCAGAUGCGUAUGUAGAUUUAAAAAAAAAAAAAAAAAAAAAAAAGCAUGGGAGUUAAAGUGUGUGCAAGAACUCGAGAGGACCAGAGGCAGUGUUGCCAGGUGUGUUAGAAAUCUCUGGAUGACGUCAUGGAUUCAUUUGCAUCAUCAAGAUCAUUUGUUUAUCAAGGAGACAAAAUGAAGCAAUGGGCAUGAGUAGUUGAGAAAUAGACACAAAGGACAUGGAUGGAAUGACUCGCUUAUAUUGCUUCAUGGACCUGGGAUCCCCCUGUUUCCUGGCCAGCAUCCUGUUACAAGCAUUUGUUCUCCCGAGCUGCCUCAGUGUUUCGGUUCGUUUCCCGAGCCAGCAGACCGUCUACGUGGUGACUGGGCAGAAUUUGGUCCUGCAGGCUGAGAUCGAGUUGUCCCAGGGGGAUCACGUCGCCAAGGUCACAUGGGAGCGUGAAGUCGAGGGAAAAAGGAAUUCUGGGAAAAGCGUGGUGGCUGAAUAUCCUGCUAAAAGCUCAGAAGGCCGGGUGAUCGUUGAGAAGGGCGGGUCUGUGAUGACGUUACGGGACUACCAGGGAACGGACAACGGCGUGUACACGGUCACCGUCCGAGACCAGAAAGGAGGUCAGAGUUCGGCACGCUGCACCGUCCACGAGUACGAGGCCGUGCACCAUGUGUCAGUGAUGGUGAACGUGUCGCACUCCAGCCUGCACUGCAUGGAAGCCUGGGGGACGGAGCCCGUCUUCCGUUGGCUCCACGAGAAAGUCGCGGUGACGGAGGCCGUGGGCCGCGUGUCAGCGGACGGCAGCUCUCUGUACCUGAACACGGCGCUGUGUGGCCACUUCACCUGCAUGAACCUUGUGAGAGAGAGAGCAGAGGAACCGCUGUAGCGGUUGUAUGUCUCGUGCUCUUGCUGCUCGUGGCUGGAGGUUUGACCUUCCUGCUCUGGAGGAAACGCAUGAGUUACAGUAAUAGACGAGAGAGACUCCGGGAACCAGAUGAGGACAUUUAACCUCCACACUCAAGUCUGUGUGUCAGACUGAAACAUAAAUGGAAGAGACAAGAACUUAAGACUGUUGCCUCUUCUCCAAGCACUUGGAUCAUUGCAAAACAUUCCAGAUAUGCUACCAGGGUUUUACUGGCUUUCAGUUACAGUCGGACAAGCCAAGGAGCGAAGAUCUCUCUUUUUUUUUUUUUUUUU